AGCGAACGUUUGCGGCGGGCUUAACACAUGCAAGUCGAACGAGAAUCCCUUCGGGGAGGAAAGUGGCGCACGGGUGCGUAACACGUGGAUAACCAACCCAUUGGUUUGGGACAACACCGGGAAACUGGUGCUAAUACCAGAUGUGUCGCAGCUGUCUUCAGGCGGUUGCGAGAAAGGCCCGCAAGGGUCGCCAACGGACGGGUCCGCGUCCCAUCAGCUAGUUGGUGAGGUAAUGGCUCACCAAGGCAAAGACGGGUAGCUGGUCUGAGAGGAUGAUCAGCCACACUGGAACUGAGACACGGUCCAGACUCCUACGGGAGGCAGCAGUGGGGAAUAUUGCGCAAUGGGCGAAAGCCUGACGCAGCCACGCCGCGUGAGCGAUGAAGGUCUUCGGAUCGUAAAGCUCUGU
RNAcentral lists this ribosomal RNA (409 nucleotides) under uncultured bacterium. RNAcentral's name for it is "bacterial SSU rRNA". It matches the Rfam family "Bacterial small subunit ribosomal RNA", at positions 29 to 436 of the family's 1533-position model. The record is from RNAcentral.